RNA transcript from Piliocolobus tephrosceles (Ugandan red Colobus), 2091 nucleotides. It is a transcript of the gene named tectonic family member 1, with no coding region annotated. NCBI's taxonomy places the organism in Eukaryota, Metazoa, Chordata, Mammalia, Primates, Cercopithecidae. The record is from RefSeq and is a predicted model, not a curated record. The transcript is spliced from 16 exons.
AUCCGCCCCCUGCCUCAUCCAGACUUCGCCCCCGUCAGUCUCCGGCAGCUUCUCGCGGCUUAGCAAGCCGCUUCCCGUGAUGCCCCGCGCCUGGGUGUAGCGGUUGCCGGGCAACGCGCGGUCUCCUGGCGCGGACGUAGCUGGAACCCGCUGGGAGAUGAGGCCGCUAGGCCUCCCGCCGCUCCUGGUGGUACUCCUGAGCUGCUGGGCCUCCGUGAGCGCCCAGACCGAGGCCACCCCGGCGGUGACGACAGAGGGCCUCAACUCCACCGAGGCAGCCCUGGCGACUUUCGGACCUUCCCCGUCGACCAGGCCCCCCGGUACUCCCAGAGCCCCAGGGUCCUCCUCCGGCCCCAGGCCUACCCCGGUCACGGACGUUGCUGCUCUGUGUGUCUGUGACUUGUCCCCAGCACAGUGUGACAUCAACUGCUGCUGUGAUCCUGACUGCAGCUCUGUGGAUUUCAGUAUCUUUUCUGCCUGCUCAGUUCCAGUUGUCACGGGCGACAGCCAGUUUUGUAGUCAAAAAGCAGUCAUCUAUUCAUUGAAUUUUACAGCAAAUCCACCUCAAAGAGUAUUUAAACUUGUUGACCAGAUUAAUCCAUCUAUUUUCUGCAUUCAUAUUACAAACUAUAAGCCUGCAUUAUCCUUUAUUAAUCCAGGAGUACCUGAUGAAAAUAAUUUUGAUACAUUGAUGAAAACAUCUGAUGGUUUUACAUUGAAUGCUGAAUCAGAUAUUUCCUUCACAACCAAACUGGAUAUUCCUACUACUGCUAAAUAUGAGUAUGGGGUUCCUCUGCAGACUUCAGAUUCGUUUCUGAGAUUUCCUUCCUCCCUGACAUCAUCUCUGUGCACUGAUAAUAACCCUGCAGAAUAUUUCUCGAAAGAUACACAAGAAGCCUCUUGCCAGUUGCCUCUGGAGAAGGGGACUGGUGCAUUUCUGGUGAACCAGGCUGUUAGGUGCACCAGAAAAAUAAAUUUAGAACAGUGUGAAGAAAUUGAAGCCCUCAGCAUGGCUUUUUACAGCAGCCCGGAAAUUCUGAGGGCACCUGAUUCAAGAACAAAGGUCCCUAUCACUGUUCAGUCCGUCAUCAUUCAGUCUCUAAAUAAAACGCUCACCCAACGGGAAGACACUGAUGUGCUACAGCCGGCUCUCGUCAAUGCUGGACACUUUCACCUUUGCAUGAAUGUUGUUCUUGAGGUAAAGUACAGCCUCACAUACACAGAUAGAGGUGAAGUCACCAAAGCUGAUCUGUCAUUCCUUCUGGGGACAGUUAGCAGUGUAGUGGUCCCACUGCAGCAAAAGUUUGAAAUUUAUUUUCUUCAGGAAAAUACCAAGCCAGUCCCUCUCAGUGGAAACCCUGGUUAUGUCGUGGGGCUCCCGUUAGCUGCUGGAUUCCAGCCUCAUAAGGGGUCUGGAAUUAUUCAGACCACGAACAGAUACAGACAGUUUACUAUUCUUCAUAGCACAGCUGAGCAAGACUGCUUAGCACUGGAGGGGGUCCGGACCCCAGUAUUAUUUGGUUACACUAUGCAAUCUGGCUGUAAACUAAGACUGACUGGAGCUCUCCCGUGUCAGCUCGUAGCCCAGAAGGUGAAGAACCUGCUGUGGGGCCAGGGCUUCCCAGAUUACGUGGCUCCUUUUGGAAAUUCGCAGGCCCAGGAUGUGCUGGACUGGGUGCCCAUCCACUUCAUCACCCAGUCAUUCAACAGGAAGGUAAAGGGGAGAAGGAUUCCUGCCAGCUCCCGGGGGCUUUGGUUAUAGAAGUGAAGUGGACCAAAUACGGAUCCCUACUGAAUCCACAGGCCAAAAUAGUCAAUGUAACUGCAAAUCUAAUUUCGUCCUCCUUUCCUGAGGCCAACGCAGGAAAUGAAAGGACGAUUCUUAUUUCUACUGCGGUUACUUUUGUGGAUGUGUCUGCACCUGCAGAGGCAGGCUUCAGAGCUCCGCCAGCCAUCAAUGCCAGGCUGCCCUUUAACUUCUUCUUCCCGUUUGUUUGACAAUGCUCAUAUGAAAGGAUGCAUCAAUUCCUUAAUAUACACGUGAAAUUUGAAAACUGUACAUUCGAUGAGACUAAAUUUUAUAUACAACUA